GUGACAUGCCAUACCACCCUGAACGCGCCCGAUCUCGUCUGAUCUCGGAAGCUAAGCAGGGUCGGGCCUGGUUAGUACUUGGAUGGGAGAAAAUGUGACAUGCCAAGGAAUUAUUGGAAGUAAAUUAUA
This 129-nucleotide ribosomal RNA is filed under the name Mustela putorius furo (domestic ferret). Lineage: Eukaryota; Metazoa; Chordata; Mammalia; Carnivora; Mustelidae. The record is from RNAcentral.